ACUCAAAGGAAUUGACGGGGGCCCGCACAAGCGGUGGAGCAUGUUGUUUAAUACGUCACUAACCGUAGAACCUUACCAGGGUUUGACAUGUGCCGACAUUCCAUGAAAGUGGACUUCCCCGCAAGGGGACGGCAACACAGGUGUUGCAUGGCUGUCGUCAGCUCGUGUCGUGAGAUGUUGGGUUAAGUCCCGCAACGAGCGCAACCCUCAUCCCAUGUUGCCAGCGGGUAAAGCCGGGAACUCUUGGGAAACUGCCUGGGUAACCAGGAGGAAGGUGAGGAUGACGUCAAGUCAGCAUGGCCCUUACACCCUGGGCUACAAACAUGCUACAAUGGACGGUAGACAAAGGGAGCCGAGGCCGCAAGGCGGGGGCAAUCUCACAAAUCCGUUCUCAGUUCGGAUCGCAGGCUGCAACUCGCCUGCGUGAAGCCGGAAUCGCUAGUAACCGCAGGUCAGCCAAACUGCGGUGAAUACGUUCCCGGGCCUUGUACACACCGCCCGU
RNAcentral lists this ribosomal RNA (502 nucleotides) under uncultured bacterium. RNAcentral's name for it is "partial 16S ribosomal RNA". It matches the Rfam family "Bacterial small subunit ribosomal RNA", at positions 899 to 1397 of the family's 1533-position model. The record is from RNAcentral.